This 344-nucleotide ribosomal RNA is filed under the name uncultured bacterium. RNAcentral's name for it is "bacterial SSU rRNA". It matches the Rfam family "Bacterial small subunit ribosomal RNA", at positions 8 to 334 of the family's 1533-position model. The record is from RNAcentral.
AGGGUUUGAUUCUGGCUCAGGAUGAACGCUGGCGGCGUGCUUAACACAUGCAAGUCGAACGAAGCACUUUAACCUGAUUCUUCGGAUGAAGGUUUUUGUGACUGAGUGGCGGACGGGUGAGUAACGCGUGGGUAACCUGCCUCAUACAGGGGGAUAACAGUUAGAAAUGACUGCUAAUACCGCAUAAGACCACGGAGCCGCAUGGCUCAGUGGGAAAAACUCCGGUGGUAUGAGAUGGACCCGCGUCUGAUUAGGUAGUUGGUGGGGUAACGGCCUACCAAGCCAACGAUCAGUAGCCGACCUGAGAGGGUGACCGGCCACAUUGGGACUGAGACACGGCCCAA